Long non-coding RNA from Cervus elaphus (red deer), 1051 nucleotides. RefSeq lists it as uncharacterized. NCBI's taxonomy places the organism in Eukaryota, Metazoa, Chordata, Mammalia, Artiodactyla, Cervidae. The transcript is spliced from 3 exons. The record is from RefSeq and is a predicted model, not a curated record.
GCGGGAGCGCGGGGUGUCAGCCCCUGGCCCGCGGGGGGGGGGGGGGGGAAGCCCCGCCCUGGUGUAUUUGGUGUCCUUUCCUGCUUGGCCUGCUGCUGGUUUUCGGUUUAAGUCUUUUCUCAGCCCCUCUCUCUGCUGGGCGUGUUUCCCCGGCUGCAGGCCCUCCCUGCCUGCUAGCCCCAGGGCCCAGCGUUCAGGGCGGGCUCUUCAGGGACCCCACCUUCCUACCCGACCCCACGUCCCCUCCCUCCAUUGUCCGUGGUGAUUUUAGCUGCUGCUUUUGUUCAGAGUUGCACACGCAACUGUUGAGUCUGUUGAUUCUUUAAUUUGAUAAAAAUACAAAAAGAACUCCCCAACCCCCACCCAUGGCCGCCUGAACCCUGCACUGCGCGCCGCGUGGCACAGAGGUGGACGUGCAGGACUCACCAAGGUCUGACGCUCAGCUGAGCAGAGAGAAGGACAAGCGCCGUGUGCAACUGCGGGGCACACAGGCCCAGAAGGCCUUGUCGCCUGUCUGGGGCUCGUCUCAGCUGGGGGCCUUCCUUCCGAGCCGCUCCUGGACUCCUGGGGCAUCUGCAUCCCGCCGUCAUCGUGGCGGCAGCCAUGCUUUCCAUCGAUGUCCGGGUCUGCUGUGUGCACGAUGCCUGGGGCGGCAGCCCACCAGGAGGAGCCCCGACCUGGGAGGUGCAGCCUCCGAACAGAAAAGGCCGUCUUUACAGGUCUGCAUUCUGGGGAAUUGAACUGUGUUUCCAGAAAGACGUGUUGACGGCCCCGGACUUGUGAAUCCUUGCAGAUGUGAUCAAGGCGAUUCCCGGACACCAGCGGCUCUCUGAGAAUCCAGCUCAGCAUGGACAUGGACUCAGACCCGACCCUGAAGGGCUCAGUCCCGUGGGACACCUCUCCCUGUCAGACACCCAGUUGCAAGUCUGUUGUCAUCUGUUCAGUUCAGUCGCUCAGUCGUGUCCGACUCUUUGCGACCCCGUGGACUGCAGCACACCAGGCCUCCCUGUCCAUCACCAGCUCCCUGAGUUCACUCAAACUCAUGUCCAUG